UUUUUAGUUUCGUUAUUUAUUCAUUUAUUUAUUUAUUUACUCGAUUUCAACACAGAUUUGAUAGAAAAUCUAAAAUAAUAACCGUUUUUGAUCAUAAUGAUCAUAAAUCAUAAUGCUGGGGGAGUUAAACAUUUCAAAGGCCGGUUCUUAAACGGCACACUUUACCGGAAACCUUUGAUCCUGAAACGCAUUUUUAUUUUCAUGAAAAUAUAACCAAGACAAGGACAGAACUGUGCGUGAAGCUGCUGAGCCUCUCUCCCUGUUCUCCCAGCAGGUGUGAGCACUCUGAUGGAGCUGGAGGCCCUGCCAUGCCAACGAGGGCUGUUGGCCCUUGCCACACCCACUUUCCCUCUUUGCCACUUUUAAUGUAUUUUUUAUGAAAUAAACUUUUUAAAAUGCGUGACUAGGCUAAACGCGAGGUUUGAGGUGAAAUGCGCUCUUAAGGUUGCACGGAAGCAGUCGUGGGUGCUGCAGUGCUAAGUGAAGGGGGCUGAUGCUGGGAUAGUGCAAAAGGAGGGUAAAAUGAAUAAAAGUGCAUUUUUUUCGAGGUUAAAGUGUAAAAUACUAAUAUAUGAGAUUAAAGUGGAUUUGAUACAGUGUUCAUGCUUAGUGAUUUUACUGAAAAUCGAUUUGAGAGAGUUGCCUCUGAAUAUUCAAAUGGUAAGUAACGCGCAAUCAAAUCAUUGUCAAAUCAUUGAGUUCUAGGGGUUUUAAAUAGAGGGAAUGGAGGGAGAAAAUCUCAAACUAAUAUGUCCCCAGCUCUAUUACAAUCAUUCUGUAUGCUCUGGCUCUGCUGUAAGACAUUUGUGUUGCUAUUUUUGGAGACUUUUGCAGAAAUUUCGUUCUUGGCCAUUUUGCUGAGGCAGAAAAGGACAUUGUUGAGUCCCUCAGCUCUUCUCCAGGAAUCAUCUCUCCAUCCCAGCCAUCAUGUCCGAUCAACUGAAGGUGUACCCGGGGGUCCGGGUGAAGAUCACGGUCAAGGAGUUGCUGCGGAGGCACAGAGAGAAGGAGGCCAACAACAAGAAGCUUAAUGCGCAGAUGCAUCAGGCUUGCUUGGAACUACAGGAGCUUCGCGCGUCCACUUUCCAAAGUGGCCAUGUGGCUCCUCCUCCCUCUGUCCCCCCAGCUGAAGCCAGCAGCUGCGGGUCGCUGGCCCUCCAGCUUCGAGCCACCAUCUCGUUUCCAGUCCCUGACAGCGCGUGCAACAUCCAGAUGCAGGAGUGCGGCAUCCAGGUGCAGCAGCAGCAGCAGUUUGGGGAUGUGAUGUUGCCCGGCAACGGAUACGGUGGUACCACCUACGACACCCCUCUGCCUCCUUUUCCAACCUCCCCUCAGCCUUGGUACCACGGACUGUCCUCAGAUGCGGACUACUACGGCCAGGGGAUGGCCCCUUGCUCCUCAUUGGAGUCACUGACUUUCUGCAACCCUGUGGAUCCCAACACUUAUUCCCCACAGGACUCCUUCUCUUCCUCCUCCUCCUCCUCAUGCUAUGACUCGCCCACCAGAAUGGAGUCAAGCUUCAGCCCACAGCAAUACCACUAUCAGCACUGUGGCCCCCAGGAAUAUUACAGCUUGCCACACUGUUGGUCAGGCCAGCAGGAGAGCCCCCCCACCCCAGAAUGCGCACCUUACUUUGCUCCCACAGACUAUCCCCAGGUGUAUCCUGUAGAAGACAGCUGUUUCCAGAAGGAUUUCCCGCUGAGCUCUGAGAUGUGCUACAAUGCUUUAUGAUGAGACCGUGAACAGUAUUACUUUGUAUCCUGACUGUAAAUACGAUUUGGCUCAGUGAGGUUGUUUGCUUUGCAUUUCACUUGGUCUGCUUUACUUUAAUCAAUUCAUUUGUAAUAAAAACUAAAUGAUAUAUUUUCAUACGCUAAUGUUUUGCUGCACAAAAUAAAAAUGUGUAAAAGUCAGCACUGUGCUUGUAAUGUGCGCUUGUCUAUUGCAGAGUUUCCACUGUAAAAGUCGGGAUGUUUGCUUCAGCCAGCAGGUUCAGACUUCACCCUGUGAACAUGCCCUGUAGCCACAGGUAACAAAUAAAAGUGAAAAAUGUGGGAAGAGUGUGAAAGUAAAUAUCACAGGCUGAUAACAUGUCAGGGCUGAACUCAGCUGUAACGCAACAAUUGGAAAUGAAGGCAAGGAAACGUCUGAGAUUUGACUUUGGCCUGCAGGGCAGUAUUUCACUGGGAGUUCAGAGAUCAAAGGAGAACAGAUUAACAGACAAGCCGACUCACAGUGGCUGCAGCUCAGCUAACAGAGCAGGACGUCUGCUAAUCAGAGGGUUGGUUUGGCUUUUUCAAGAAUGCUUGAGCUCCGAGUUGUCGCGUAAUGCUGGAGUCGCUGUGUGUGAAUGAGACUGGUAUUUAAAAAGUACUUUGACUCCUCAGACAGGUGUCAGUCCAUUUAUCUGAUUUUUUCAACAAACUCUCAAUAAUUUCUCCAGACUGUGAAACAAGCACUGUUGAAGCUGCAACCCCCUCUUAUUAUACUUACAGAUUUUACACGGAGCUCAGCCAGUUUAUUAGGCUACCUGUCAAAAAACAAGAAAUUCAGUAAAUGGACUGAUUUUCUACUCUGAGCACUCUUGU
Molecule: long non-coding RNA, 2588 nt
Organism: Astatotilapia calliptera (eastern happy)
Lineage: Eukaryota; Metazoa; Chordata; Actinopteri; Cichliformes; Cichlidae
Source: Ensembl